Molecule: long non-coding RNA, 2365 nt
Organism: Anguilla rostrata (American eel)
Lineage: Eukaryota; Metazoa; Chordata; Actinopteri; Anguilliformes; Anguillidae
Exons: 7
Source: RefSeq, a predicted model, not a curated record
UUUACAUUAAUUGUUUUAUAGAUGUUGGAAAAGAAAGGAGUAAAAGCAAGGUGUGGAGUUAUUUUGAUUUCACACACUUAAAUAUAGUGUUAAUAUAUAUAUUUAAUUUAAUAUCAUCUUUUACUUUUUUAUUUAAAAAGUUUUGUGUGUUUAUUUUAAUUUUUUUUGUUUGCUUGUAAGUUAAAUGUUCUUAAAUAUAGAAACUUUAAUAAAAUAAGUUUUUCAAAUUGAUUUGACAAUGUUGCACUUUUUGACAAAAUAUCGGUCAAAACAUCGGUAAUCGGUGGGCUAGGACUCUCCAAAAUCGGGAUUGGCACCGGACCCAAAAAUCUGGCAUCGGUCGGGCUCUAUUAUGUACUGUUGGCCAUGCUCAAUUUUUGCCAUCUCCCUUCACAACAGGUGAAAAGAAAACAAUUGCAUCAUACAAAGACAGCGUGCAGCACAGCAUGCAGCAUAACGUAAGUACAUCAAAACUGUCACUGGGAAUUAAAUUUGAUUUGAUUCCAAAUUUAUCAAAUUAACCCACUUCCAUGUGUGCCAACUUGGUCUGCCUCCUUGUCUGGGCCAUGACUUAUUUGAGGGUAUCGUCGCAUAUGACUUCGCUCUAUACCUAAGUCAUUUUGUCACAAAUCAGAAAUUCUUCACGUAUAGAGAACUGAAUGGACAGCUUAAUCACUUCAGGUACCUCGGCGAUGACGCCAGCAAUAAGCCAUGCGAAAUGAAUCCAGGAAGUGAGAAAUUGAGUGGACAUGCUGUCCAGAAUUGGUGUUUCCUUAGACUUCUGCCUCUCUUGAUUGGGGACAGAAUUUUAAAUCCAGUUGAAAAUGAAGUUUGGCAAUUUGUGUUGCUGCUAAGGCAAAAAGUUGAAAUUGUUUGUGCUCCUGCCAUUGCAACUAGUCAGAUGGCCUACUUGAAAGUCCUUAUUGAGGAGUAUUUGCCGAGUCGACAGUAUUGUUUUCCUAAUCACCCACUUAAGCCGAAACAUCAUGUAACCCGUUGGAAAAAUAGCAACGUUUUAAAAGAGUCCUGUAGCUUUAAGAAAAGGGAGGCUCCCUACCUAACUUGUUAGGAGGACUUGUUUUGAAUCCCUAAUUAGUUUUAUUGGCUGUAACAGGCAGUAAUGUCUUAAGAUCAUUCUGGAAAAUAGUUAGCCCCGCCCACUCCCAGGGACUUGGUUGAGACUGUUUGUCGCACAGCAAGAGGGGAGAACGGGAGAAAGAAAAAGACGAUUAGAAGUAAAAAAUCAUAAUCGUUAAUUUAAGCAGUAAACCUAAAGAGUAGCUCCCUAAAUGACCCACGGACCAAAUAUUUUCCAGAUCGCACACUUCAAUCUCUUUCCUUGGGAUCUUGGCUGGGUUUUUUGGAUACCUGAGAAGAAACCUGUGAACCUAGGAUUCUCUCCCUGACGAGGGAGAUGGCGAGCCGACCAGCUUGAUCAACUUGAUUCAUCUUCAUCCAUUGAGGAAGAACCCCCUGAUACCCCUUGUUUCUCCCAACCCCACUCUGGUGUGAAUGUCUGAUAUAAGUGAGAGCAUCAAGGACGCAGUCAUUUCUGUCCUGCCAAGUGUGCCAGAAGAAACGAUCUUACACCAGGGAGUGGAAAGCAAAGAUGACUUGCAGUACAUAAGAGAACAGGAAAUUGCCGAGGUUAAUCGACCAAUCCAGUGCAGAAAACAUUUAAAUGCAUGGAAAUGAGCAGAAUGUCUGAUAUAAGUGAGAGCAUCAAGGACGCAGUCAUUUCUGUCCUGCCAAGUGUGCCAGAAGAAACGAUCUUACACCAGGGAGUGGAAAGCAAAGAUGACUUGCAGUACAUAAGAGAACAGGAAAUUGCAGAGGUUAAUCGACCAAUCCAGUGCAGAAAACAUUUAAAUGCAUGGAAAUGAGCAGAUGCUAUAAGUUGUGCUACCCCCCUACUCCAGUCCCCAGAUGGCAGUUCAUCACUGUCAAGCUCCUUGAGAUCCAGUAGCCCUUCACCAUCACAUUCCAUACGGCCACCAGUAAAGCAAAAAUGGCCAGAAACGUUCCAGGUACCCCAGGCAACCCUGUACUUUGAGUAUUUUUUGUUGCAGCUGGCUAGAGUGUCGCCGGAUUGCGCAGGUGAAAAGAAAACAAUUGCAUCAUACAAAGACAGCAUGCAGCAGAGCAUGCAGCAUAACGUAAGUACAUCAAAAACUGUCACUGGGAAUUAAAUUUGAUUUGAUUCCAAAUUUAUCAAAUUAACCCACUUCCAUGUGUGCCAACUUGGUCUGCCUCCUUGUCUGGGCCAUGACUUAUUUGAGGGUAUCGUCGCAUAUGACUUCGCUCUAUACCUAAGUCAUUUUGUCACAAAUCAGAAAUUCUUCACGUAUAGAGAACUGAAUGGACA